AUAGCGCGGUGGACCCACCUGAACCCAUGCCGAACUCAGAAGUGAAACGCCGUAGCGCCGAUGGUAGUGUGGGGUCUCCCCAUGCGAGAGUAGGACACUGCCAGGC
This 106-nucleotide ribosomal RNA is filed under the name Yersinia enterocolitica. The record is from RNAcentral. Lineage: Bacteria; Pseudomonadati; Pseudomonadota; Gammaproteobacteria; Enterobacterales; Yersiniaceae.